UAGAAACCUGCCCAGCCAGUUAAAUGAAAGACAUAUUAGGUUAUCCAUUGCACACCGUAUAUAGCUUAGAUGCAGCACAACUCUUCCACAUAGCAGUAGUGUCUAGUAAACUCUAGCGUGGUCCAGAGAGGUGGCUUCCACUGAUUUCCUGUUUAAGUUCAUAGCUUCAGGGAAAGUCAGCAGUGAAACACCUGCUUUUGACCAAGAGCAGAGGGUUUCUAAAUGAAUUGAAGGUGAAACCCUUUGGAUGCUUUUUUACUCCAAAGCAAUUCUGCAUAAAACUGCUGAUAAUUCAGCUAAACUUCUAAAAAGCCAUGUAAUGUUGAAUCUGCAAAAGGAAUGUGCUGAUUCAGCAAACCAAAAUUAAUUUUAUUCAGCAUAAGCUAUAUUCUGACAAUUUGGGGGAAAUAUGGAUCAAAAUUUUCAGUUGGUUGAAUUUUUCUUUUUUCAGGGAGAAUCCUACCUGAG
This is a long non-coding RNA of Hipposideros armiger (great roundleaf bat), 468 nucleotides long. RefSeq lists it as uncharacterized. Lineage: Eukaryota; Metazoa; Chordata; Mammalia; Chiroptera; Hipposideridae. The record is from RefSeq and is a predicted model, not a curated record. The transcript has 3 exons.